UGCCAGCCGCCGCGGUAAUACGGAGGGGGCUAGCGUUGUUCGGAAUUACUGGGCGUAAAGCGCACGUAGGCGGUUUAUCAAGUUGGGCGUGAAAGCCCGGGGCUCAACCCCGGAACUGCGCUCAAAACUGGUAGGCUAGAGACCGGGAGAGGUAAGCGGAAUUCCCAGUGUAGAGGUGAAAUUCGUAGAUAUUGGGAAGAACACCAGUGGCGAAGGCGGCUUACUGGCCCGGUUCUGACGCUGAGGUGCGAAAGCGUGGGGAGCAAACAGGAUUAGAUA
This 279-nucleotide ribosomal RNA is filed under the name uncultured bacterium. RNAcentral describes it as "partial 16S ribosomal RNA". It matches the Rfam family "Bacterial small subunit ribosomal RNA", at positions 506 to 784 of the family's 1533-position model. The record is from RNAcentral.